GGGAAUUUUGGGCAAUGGGCGAAAGCCUGACCCAGCAACGCCGCGUGAGGGAUGAAGUAUUUCGGUAUGUAAACCUCGAAAGAAUGGGAAGAAUAAAUGACGGUACCAUUUAUAAGCUCCGGCUAACUACGUGCCAGCAGCCGCGGUAAUACGUAGGGAGCAAGCGUUGUUCGGAUUUACUGGGCGUAAAGGGCGCGUAGGCGGCGCGGUAAGUCACUUGUGAAAUCUCUGAGCUUAACUCAGAACGGCCAAGUGAUACUGCUGUGCUAGAGUGCGGAAGAGGCAACCGGAAUUCUUGGUGUAGCGGUGAAAUGCGUAGAUAUCAAGAGGAACACCUGAGGCGAAGGCGGGUUGCUGGGCCGACACUGACGCUGAUGCGCGAAAGCCAGGGGAGCAAAC
RNAcentral lists this ribosomal RNA (399 nucleotides) under uncultured bacterium. RNAcentral describes it as "bacterial SSU rRNA". It matches the Rfam family "Bacterial small subunit ribosomal RNA", at positions 357 to 773 of the family's 1533-position model. The record is from RNAcentral.